UUUAGCCUACGGGGCGCAGCAGUGGGGAAUAUUGGGCAAUGGGCGCAAGCCUGACCCAGCAACGCCGCGUGAAGGAAGAAGGCUUUCGGGUUGUAAACUUCUUUUCUCAGGGACGAAGAAAGUGACGGUACCUGAGGAAUAAGCCACGGCUAACUACGUGCCAGCAGCCGCGGUAAUACGUAGGUGGCAAGCGUUAUCCGAAUUUAUUGGGUGUAAAGGGCGUGUAGGCGGGAGCGCAAGUCAGAUGUGAAAACUCAGGGCUCAACCCUGCGCCUGCAGUAGAA
This 284-nucleotide ribosomal RNA is filed under the name uncultured bacterium. RNAcentral's name for it is "partial 16S ribosomal RNA". It matches the Rfam family "Bacterial small subunit ribosomal RNA", at positions 332 to 631 of the family's 1533-position model. The record is from RNAcentral.